Molecule: ribosomal RNA, 495 nt
Filed under: uncultured bacterium
Lineage: Bacteria
Description: partial 16S ribosomal RNA
Rfam family: Bacterial small subunit ribosomal RNA
Source: RNAcentral
GACGAACGCUGGCGGCGUGCCUAAUACAUGCAAGUAGAACGCUGAAGGAGGAGCUUGCUUCUCUGGAUGAGUUGCGAACGGGUGAGUAUCGCGUAGGUAACCUGCCUGGUAGCGGGGGAUAACUAUUGGAAACGAUAGCUAAUACCGCAUAACAGUAGAUAUCGCAUGAUAUCUACUUGAAAGGUGCAAUUGCAUCACUACCAGAUGGACCUGCGUUGUAUUAGCUAGUUGGUGAGGUAACGGCUCACCAAGGCGACGAUACAUAGCCGACCUGAGAGGGUGAUCGGCCACACUGGGACUGAGACACGGCCCAGACUCCUACGGGAGGCAGCAGUAGGGAAUCUUCGGCAAUGGACGGAAGUCUGACCGAGCAACGCCGCGUGAGUGAAGAAGGGUUUCGGAUCGUAAAGCUCUGUUGUAAGAGAAGAACGAGGGUGAGAGUGGAAAGUUCACACUGUGACGGUAUCUUACCAGAAAGGGACGGCUAACUACGUG